RNAcentral lists this long non-coding RNA (1493 nucleotides) under Gossypium barbadense (sea-island cotton). Its description in RNAcentral is "long non-coding RNA (GBAR_LNC008000)". The record is from RNAcentral. Lineage: Eukaryota; Viridiplantae; Streptophyta; Magnoliopsida; Malvales; Malvaceae.
AAAUUAGAAAUUUUUUAUUGGAAGGUGUAGUCAACCAAUUUUGCCCGGGCCCAUUUAAUUUAUUUGCAAAUAAUAAACCCGAAUAAAUAAAUAAAAUCCAAAGACUAAAUAGUCCAGUAAAGUCCCUUUACAAUUUUCAAAAUGCAUGUACCAAAAUAACUCAUGACCCAACAAAUUUUAAAACCCAAUUCUAUAAACCCAGGCCCUAAAUCUAGCCCAAACCCGAAAAAGCCCAAAAAGGAAAAGUAUUCCAGCAGCCAAGCACCAGAAGCUUCUGGAACGUGCCAGAACAGUGCCAGGGAGUUGGGUUUCACGAGCGGAUUCCUCGCACAGUUUCGUUCAAGCGUGCUUCUCCCCGUUUCUCCGUACGGCCAUUGCUCCAUACCUGCAAAAGAAUGUACGAGAAGAAGCAGCAACAGAAUGUACAGCCAAAUGACAGAGGGAAAAUGUAUUUUUAUUUUUCAUUUAUUCUGUAAAUUUGGGCUAUAAAAGCCAUUAUUUGUACCUUGAUUUUUUACACACACACACAGAAUAUACUAUACGCAUACAAUAUCUGUACACACGCACAGAGAAGAGAGAAGCGAUUUAAGAUCAAUAGAGGUGAUUUCAUUUUUUUUCUCUUCCGAUUUUUUUUCGUUUUUUCUAUUCUCUUUAUUUUCUUAUUUGUUUGCUUAUUUUUUAUGCAACUUAAGGCCGACGAAAGCUCUAAAUCUGCCAUGCGAAUAUAAGGGCGAGAGGUCACAUAAUAGUGGAAAUCUAUUCAUUUUACAAAUCUGUCUUCAUUUUUUUUCUUUAAAAAAUAACAUGAGAUUUGAAAGCUCCAUUCAAAUAAAGAAGAAAGAAGGGAAAAUACUUAUCGAAUCCUUUUAGAUCAGGUCGAGCUCCUUUAACGGCAAGAUUGGGCAUGUCUCGCUUACUAGUAAUCACCUAAAAGCAUGGUGGUUUGGUAGUCAAGUGAAGAAAACCCUAAAAAAAUUGAUUUUAAAGGCUGGAAUUUCUUUUGAUCUAAGUGGGGGUUGUGUUUGAGGAAUGAAACAGAAGAGGAUAGGUCUUAAAUGACUAGGUGACUAUGCGGCGCCGUUUCAAAGCGCAAAGGCCCGCGCGUCAACCCGUUUUGGUAGGCCGGGUAUGCGCAUGGUUGGGGUGAAUGGGGAAAUUGCGUGACGGAUCCCUCCCCUUUGCGCGCAGUCCUCAAUUUUCGCCUGAUUCGCCUAUUUUAUGUUUUAAAAUUGGCCCGUUAGUUCGUAUAUGGUUUCAAUUGGAUUCGUGGUUUAUUGCUGCAUUGUGAGCAUGGGAUAUUUUCAAUACUAGUCCUCACAUGUUUGUGCGCAUGGCACAUUGAUUCUAUUUUGUAAUUAUUUUAUUUGCAAAUUGUUUCUCCUGUUUUAAUUUUGCUUCAAUUAAGUAUUAUUCUCAUUUUACUGCAUAUAUAUUUUUUAUAUGAUUGAUUAUUGGUUAAGAUAUUUCAUAUGGUUUUGAUAAUUGAACUCUCC